CAAAACCUUGUCAAAUUGCUCAAGAUAUAAUUCAAGAUACAACCACUAGUAAAUCGGGUUACUUACUACCCUUAGAUUGCAUGUGCUGACUUUAAAAUCAAAUAAAUCCUUCACUUCAACUUGGAAUCUAGUAAAAAAUAUGCAAAAAAUGUAGCCGCAAAAGUUUUCUUUCCAAUUGCAGUCGCCGAUCCUCAAUUGCUCUUUGUACGCGUGCGUUAUGCCAAAAAGAGUGAUAAUAGCUUCCAAAUCAACACCUUAACUUUGAGUGCUUGUGUCUCCUUUAUAUAAACUCCAAAAAAUACAAUAUUUGCACCAAAACCAUAGCCAAAAACCUAAACUUGCUGACCUUAGCCUUCAAAGCUCAAAUG
RNAcentral lists this long non-coding RNA (368 nucleotides) under Physcomitrium patens. Its description in RNAcentral is "long non-coding RNA (PPAT_LNC009039)". The record is from RNAcentral. Lineage: Eukaryota; Viridiplantae; Streptophyta; Bryopsida; Funariales; Funariaceae.